UACGUAGGCAGCAAGCGUUGUUCGGAGUUACUGGGCGUAAAGGGUGCGUAGGCGGUUGUUUUAAGUUUGGUGUGAAAUCUCCCGGCUCAACUGGGAGGGUGCGCCGAAUACUGAAUGACUAGAGUGCGGGAGAGGAGAGUGGAAUUCCUGGUGUAGCGGUGAAAUGCGUAGAUAUCAGGAGGAACACCGGUGGUGUAGACGGCUCUCUGGACCGUAACUGACGCUGAGGCACGAAAGCGUGGGUGGCAAACAGG
This 254-nucleotide ribosomal RNA is filed under the name uncultured bacterium. RNAcentral's name for it is "partial 16S ribosomal RNA". It matches the Rfam family "Bacterial small subunit ribosomal RNA", at positions 524 to 776 of the family's 1533-position model. The record is from RNAcentral.